AUUGAACGCUGGCGGCAGGCCUAACACAUGCAAGUCGAGCGGAUGAAGGGAGCUUGCUCCUGGUUUCAGCGGCGGACGGGUGAGUAAUGCCUAUGAAUCUGCCUGGUAGUGGGGGAUAACGUCCGGAAACGGGCGCUAAUACCGCAUACGUCCUGAGGGAGAAAGUGGGGGAUCUUCGGACCUCACGCUAUCAGAUGAGCCUAGGUCGGAUUAGCUAGUUGGUGGGGUAAAGGCCUACCAAGGCGACGAUCCGUAACUGGUCUGAGAGGAUGAUCAGUCACACUGGAACUGAGACACGGUCCAGACUCCUACGGGAGGCAGCAGUGGGGAAUAUUGGACAAUGGGCGAAAGCAUGAUCCAGCCAUGCCGCGUGUGUGAAGAAGGUCUUCGGAUUGUAAAGCACUUUAAGUUGGGAGGAAGGGCAGUAAGUUAAUACCUUGCUGUUUUGACGUUACCAACAGAAUAAGCACCGGCUAACUUCGUG
Molecule: ribosomal RNA, 484 nt
Filed under: uncultured bacterium
Lineage: Bacteria
Description: partial 16S ribosomal RNA
Rfam family: Bacterial small subunit ribosomal RNA
Source: RNAcentral